GAUGAACGCUGGCGGCGUGCCUAAUACAUGCAAGUCGAGCGAACGGACGAUAAGCUUGCUCCUCUGAUGUUAGCGGCGGACGGGUGAGUAACACGUGGAUAACCAUCCUAUAAUACUGGGAGAACUUCGGGAAACCGGAGCUAAUACUGGAUAAUAUUUUGAACCGCAUGGUUCAAAAGUGAAAGACGGUUUUGCUGUCACUUAUAGAUGGAUCCGCGCUGCAUUAGCUAGUUGGUAAGGUAACGGCUUACCAAGGCAACGAUGCGUAGCCGACCUGAGAGGGUGAUCAGCCACACUGGAACUGAGACACGGUCCAGACUCCUACGGGAGGCAGCAGUAGGGAAUAUUCGGCAAUGGGCGAAAGCCUGACGGAGCCACGCCGCGUGAGUGAUGAAGGUCUUCGGAUCGUAAAACUCUGUUGUUAGGGAAGAACAUCUGUGGAAGUAACUGUGCACGUCUUGACGGUACCUAAUCAGAAAGCCACGGCUAACUACGUG
RNAcentral lists this ribosomal RNA (497 nucleotides) under uncultured bacterium. RNAcentral describes it as "partial 16S ribosomal RNA". It matches the Rfam family "Bacterial small subunit ribosomal RNA", at positions 28 to 507 of the family's 1533-position model. The record is from RNAcentral.